Molecule: ribosomal RNA, 293 nt
Filed under: uncultured bacterium
Lineage: Bacteria
Description: partial 16S ribosomal RNA
Rfam family: Bacterial small subunit ribosomal RNA
Source: RNAcentral
GUGCCUAACACAUGCAAGUCGAACGAGAAAGCGGGGGCAACUCCGUGAGUAAAGUGGCGACCGGGUGAGUAACACGUGACUAACCUGCCCUUGAGUGGGGGAUAACCUCGGGAAACCGGGGCUAAUACCGCAUAAUUUCAUGAGGUGAAAUUCCUUGUGAUCAAAGGAGCAAUUCGCUGAAGGAGGGGGUCGCGGCUGAUUAGCUAGUUGGUGAGGUAACGGCCCACCAAGGCAAUGAUCAGUAGCCGGCCUGAGAGGGCGCACGGCCACACUGGAACUGAAACACGGUCCAG